CCUACGGGGCGCAGCAGUGAGGAAUAUUGGUCAAUGGGAGAGAUCCUGAACCAGCCAAGCCGCGUGAGGGAAGACGGCCCUAUUGGUUGUAAACCUAUUUUGUCGGAGAACAAAACCCGGGACGAGUCCCGGACUGCGUGUAUCCGAAGAAAAAGCAUCGGCUAACUCCGUGCCAGAAGCCGCGGUAAUACGGAGGAUGCGAGCGUUAUCCGGAUUUAUUGGGUUUAAAGGGUGCGUAGGGGGUCCGUUAAGUCAGCGGUAAAAUUGCGGGGAUCAACCCCGUCGAGCCGCUGAAACAGGCAGAA
This 305-nucleotide ribosomal RNA is filed under the name uncultured bacterium. RNAcentral's name for it is "bacterial SSU rRNA". It matches the Rfam family "Bacterial small subunit ribosomal RNA", at positions 338 to 641 of the family's 1533-position model. The record is from RNAcentral.